This 468-nucleotide ribosomal RNA is filed under the name uncultured bacterium. Its description in RNAcentral is "partial 16S ribosomal RNA". It matches the Rfam family "Bacterial small subunit ribosomal RNA", at positions 28 to 507 of the family's 1533-position model. The record is from RNAcentral.
GACGAACGCUGGCGGCGUGCUUAACACAUGCAAGUCGAACGGAAAGGCCCUGCUCUUGUGGGGUGCUCGAGUGGCGAACGGGUGAGUAACACGUGAGUAACCUGCCCUUGACUUUGGGAUAACUUCAGGAAACUGGGGCUAAUACCGGAUAGGAUCUCCUGCUGCAUGGUGGGGGUUGGAAAGUUUCGGCGGUUGGGGAUGGACUCGCGGCUUAUCCGCUUGUUUGUGGAGUAGUGGCUUACCAAGGCUAUGACGGGUAGCCGGCCUGAGAGGGUGACCGGCCACAUUGGGACUGAGAUAGGGACCAGACGCCUACGGGAGGCAGCAGUGGGGAAUAUUGCACAAUGGGCGGAAGCGUGAUGCGGCAACGCCGCGUGCGGGAUGACGGCCUUCGGGUUGUAAACCGCUUUCGCCUGUGACGAAGCGUGAGUGACGGUAAUGGGUAAAGAAGCACCGGCUAACUACGUG